GAAAUGCGAUAAGUAAUGUGAAUUGCAGAAUUCAGUGAAUCAUCGAAUCUUUGAACGCACCUUGCGCUCCUUGGUAUUCCUUGGAGCAUGCCUGUUUGAGUAUCAUGAAAUCUUCAAAGUAAAUCUUUUGUUAACUCAAUUGGUUUCUACUUUGGUAUUGGAGGUCUUUGCAGCUUCACACCUGCUCCUCUUUGUUCAUUAGCUGGAUCUCAGUGUUAUGCUUGGUUCCACUCGGCGUGAUAAGUUAUCUAUCGCUGAGGACACUGUAAAAGGUGGCCAAGGUAAAUGCAGAUGAACCGCUUCUAAUAGUCCAUUGACUUGGACAAUACUUUUAUGAUCUGAUCUCAAAUCAGGUAGGACAACCCGCUGAACUUAAGC
Molecule: unclassified non-coding RNA, 378 nt
Filed under: plant metagenome
Description: partial contains 5.8S ribosomal RNA, internal transcribed spacer 2, and large subunit ribosomal RNA
Rfam family: 5.8S ribosomal RNA (bases 1-105)
Source: RNAcentral